UUAGCUGGCCUUAGCGGUUAUGGCAUGGAUUUUUGUUCAUUCCUUUACUCACAAAAUUUUUACCGCUGAUUUUCUUGUUGCUGCUAUUCUUUCUAUGCCUGCCCCUUUCGCUCUACAUGAGUACACAUUUAUAUGCUUGCUGCUGCUGUCGCUGUUGAUGAUGAUUUGUGGCGUUUGUGGAACGCAUCGGGGGUUGGCAGCGUGCGUGCGGUGGUUGGCAGUGGCGAACGGUUUGUGUUUCGGCAAACUAGCUGGUUUCGUACAGUAAACGUCUUCGUACAUAUGUAAGUAAAUCAGUUGUUCGUCACAUGUUCGACGUGAAUGUUCGCCAGACGUCGUUUGUUAUAAAAUUUUCCAAAUUAGCUAAUCAAAAGGCGAUUUUUCUGUGUAUUGUGAAGCAUUUUUACUUGUGGCAAAACCUUAUUUUCCAAUAGAUGAAAGUCGAAAAAUUGUGCUAAAUUAUUAAGUGCAAAUUCUAAAAGCAAAACUAAACCUGAGUGCAAGAAAUAAAGUGCAUUUUUGUUGUUCGAUUCAUAUGAGUGCGUAUUCUUGAUGUGUUUGUGAUUAAGAAAAAAAAAAAAACAAAAACAAAAACAUAAAAAUAAAAUCUAAAACAGAUAAAACCGCUUAUGAAUACAUUUUAAAGGUCCACGUUGCGCUAAUUUUUGCAUUGAAAACUAAAAAACGUGCGCGCGUGCUACAACAAUAAGUUGGAAAUCGGUAGAAAAAAUCUCAACGGCACAAAUAAAACUUUCGUACCUAGUUCAGUUCGGCGCGAAUCGAAAACAAUAACAACAGCAACAAUAAAACGUUUCGGCUGCAACAUAAACAGUUUGCUCGCACUUGCUAGAUAACCUUCACGAAAAAACAGUGUGCAAUUAAUUUUUGUGCGAAAAAAAUUUGAUAUACUUAAUUAAAUAAAUAAUACGGGAAAUAUUAACUAAGAAG
Long non-coding RNA from Rhagoletis zephyria (snowberry fruit fly), 948 nucleotides. RefSeq lists it as uncharacterized. The record is from RefSeq and is a predicted model, not a curated record. NCBI's taxonomy places the organism in Eukaryota, Metazoa, Arthropoda, Insecta, Diptera, Tephritidae.